CGUAGGGGGCAAGCGUUGUCCGGAUUUAUUGGGCGUAAAGAGCGUGUAGGCGGCUAGGUAGGUCCGUUGUGAAAACUCGAGGCUCAACCUCGAGACGCCGGUGGAAACCAUCUAGCUAGAGUCCGGAAGAGGAGAGUGGAAUUCCUGGUGUAGCGGUGAAAUGCGCAGAUAUCAGGAAGAACACCCGUGGCGAAGGCGGCUCUCUGGGACGUGACUGACGCUGAGGAGCGAAAGCCAGGGGAGCAAACAGG
Molecule: ribosomal RNA, 251 nt
Filed under: uncultured bacterium
Lineage: Bacteria
Description: partial 16S ribosomal RNA
Rfam family: Bacterial small subunit ribosomal RNA
Source: RNAcentral